This 365-nucleotide long non-coding RNA is filed under the name Athene cunicularia (burrowing owl). Its description in RNAcentral is "lncRNA (ENSACUG00000011718.1)". Lineage: Eukaryota; Metazoa; Chordata; Aves; Strigiformes; Strigidae. The record is from RNAcentral.
AAGGGAGCAGAUGGUGUUCGUGGAUUGAAGGGCACCAAAGGUGAAAAGGGUGAAGAUGGCUUCCCUGGCUUUAAAGGUGAUAUGGGCAUCAAAGGAGACCGGGGGGAAAUUGGACCUCCUGGCCCUCGGGGUGAGGAUGGUCCUGAAGGUCCCAAAGGUCGCUCUGGCCCCAAUGGAGAUCCCGGUCCUCUUGGUCCUGCUGGAGAGAAGGGAAAACUCGGUGUGCCAGGACUGCCCGGCUACCCGGGCAGGCAGGGCCCAAAGGGCUCAAUCGGCUUCCCAGGAUUUCCAGGAGCCAACGGAGAGAAGGGCACACGGGGGACACCUGGCAAACCAGGUCCAAGGGGGCAACGCGGUCCAACGGU